This 332-nucleotide ribosomal RNA is filed under the name uncultured bacterium. RNAcentral describes it as "partial 16S ribosomal RNA". It matches the Rfam family "Bacterial small subunit ribosomal RNA", at positions 338 to 668 of the family's 1533-position model. The record is from RNAcentral.
CCUACGGGGGGCAGCAGUGAGGAAUAUUGGUCAAUGGACGCGAGUCUGAACCAGCCAAGCCGCGUGCGGGAAGAAGGCACAGUGAGUUGUAAACCGCUUUUGUACGAGGACAAACGCGGAGACGCGUACCUGGCUGAGGGUAGCGGACGAAUAAGGAUCGGCUAACUCCGUGCCAGCAGCCGCGGUAAUACGGAGGAUGCAAGCGUUAUCCGGAUUUAUUGGGUUUAAAGGGUGCGCAGGCGUCCUGUUAAGUCAGAGGGAAAAGCCCGGGGCUCAAUCCCGGAAUGCCGCUGAUACAGGGCGGCUGGAGUUUAGUUGCGGUACGCGGCAUG